Herpailurus yagouaroundi (jaguarundi) is the source of this 1444-nucleotide long non-coding RNA. RefSeq lists it as uncharacterized. The record is from RefSeq and is a predicted model, not a curated record. The transcript has 2 exons. Lineage: Eukaryota; Metazoa; Chordata; Mammalia; Carnivora; Felidae.
GCUGGCCGUGAAGGAUUUUCCCCUGUGACUUUGUCUGUUCGCUUCCUCCUCUUCCUGAGGUUUUGUGCCGGCCCGGACAUCACCCCCCUCGCUCAGUUUUAGCCGGGACCUUCCUGGGUGAGGAUGAGACGCCCGCUCCGGCCAGCUCAGCCACCAGAACAAUCCGUACGGUGGACCCGCCACUUCUUCUGGGCUCAGAGGCCUUCCAUCCAUUCCCUCUCUUCAAUCUUUCAGCAUCACAUUUGGGGUCGGCAAAGUCCUGCCGUAAGGGGCCAGAGAGGACCUGUUUGCAGCUCUGGUGGCCAGCAGGUCUCCGUCGCAGCCCUGGACAACACGUAAAUAAACGUGUGGCUGUGCUCCAAGGAACUUUAUGGACAGACGUGGGCCGUGGGUGGGAUUCGGCCCGCGAGCUGUGGUUUGCAACCCCCCCCGGGGUCUCAGCCGCCUGGCUACUCAAGGAGGUGCCGCGUUGUCUCGCCGAUGAGGAAGCCGAGGCUCACAGAGAGGCCAGGUGCCCAAGGUCAUGGGCCAGGAUUGUGCCAAGUUCAGAGGCUUGACCUCCAUGUCCUACGGGCAUCAAACGGACACAGGUCUCUCAGAAAUCCACACAGAUGCCACCUCGGUCUGUAUGGGGAGAACCCUCUUGCCCCCCCCCCCCCCCGCCACCAUGUCCCCAUCUCCGGCCAGGGGGGUGGCUUUUCCCGUCUGCCGGGGAGACGGUGCGGGGAAUCUGUCACUUGCCUUGCUCUCUAUCUGCCGGGGGCUUCUCUGCUGAGGGGAGGGGGUGCCGCAGAAGCCCAGGGCUUGCCCUCUGUCUGGCACCUGCACACCCCACUCCCCAGCUCCCUGUGUCCCCUCCCAUCUUCUCCAGCCCUCGGCCCCUCUCCCUGAGAACUGCAGACGCUCGUUGAUCCAGACGCUUGAAAACAUGUGGUCAGAGCUGUGGACAAGGGAUCCACAGUGCGUCACGCCUUGUCCCCCACCGGCUGGGUGUGGGAUCCUCGAUUCAUUAUCAGACCUCCCCUGGGCACACACCAUGUGCCAGGCUCCGGGCCAGAAGCGGACGUGAACAAGAGGGCUCAGCGCUAAACCAGAAGGCGGGGGACCGAGGCCUGGCUGGGCGGAGAAGCCAACAUCUCAGACCCACGGGGAGCCAGACAAAGGAGGCUGUGGGUAGCAUGACUCAAGGAGAGCAUUCCUGCACCUCCUGGAAGAGGCGGCUGUGGCACGAGGCGACAUUCCAACAGGCAGCAGAGGGGGGAGACACCCUGCAGCAUUUGAAGGGCCUGGAAUGCCAAGAAGAAAAACCUGAAGGUCUUGGCAUGAGCCUGACACCAUGUGGGUCUGGGUCGGGGCCCUGCCUCUUGCAAGCUGGACGGCUUUGGGUCACAGUCAGCGCUCAAUAAAGAAUACUGCUGUUAUGGCCGUUACUAUUAUGACAGUA